AGACUCCUGGAACGGGUCUUCACCCAAAAGGUGUUAGGGUCAUGCUCCUUAACAUCGCCCGAGGACGGGGCCGCGGCCGAUCAGGUAGUUGGCGAGGCAACGGCUCACCAAGCCUAUAACCGGUACGGGCCGUGGGAGCGGGAGCCCGGAGAUGGGUACUGAGACAAGGGCCCAGGCCCUACGGGGCGCAGCAGUUGCGAAAACUUGUCAAUGCACGAAAGUGUGAACGGGCUACCCCGAGUGCCAUCCGCUCGAGNGAUGGCUUUUCUCUGCUGUAAGAAGGCGGAGGAAUAAGGAGAGGGCAAGUCUGGUGUCAGCCGCCGCGGUAAUACCAGCUCUCCGAGUGGUAGGGAUGAUUAUUGGGCCUAAAGCGUUCGUAGCCGGCCUUCCAAGUCUUUCGUUAAAUCCAGCGAUUCAAUCGUUGGACUGCGGGAGAUACUGUUAGGCUAGGGGACGGGAGAAGCCGACGGUAUNUCCNGGGUAGGGGUAAAAUCCUAUAAUCCGGGGAAGACCACCAGUGGCGUAGGCGGUCGGCUAGCACGCGCUCGACGGUGAGGGACGA
This 562-nucleotide ribosomal RNA is filed under the name uncultured archaeon. RNAcentral describes it as "bacterial SSU rRNA". It matches the Rfam family "Archaeal small subunit ribosomal RNA", at positions 164 to 707 of the family's 1478-position model. The record is from RNAcentral.